This 456-nucleotide ribosomal RNA is filed under the name uncultured bacterium. RNAcentral's name for it is "bacterial SSU rRNA". It matches the Rfam family "Bacterial small subunit ribosomal RNA", at positions 340 to 786 of the family's 1533-position model. The record is from RNAcentral.
UACGGAAGGCAGCAGUGGGGAAUAUUGCACAAUGGGCGAAAGCCUGAUGCAGCUAUGCCGCGUGUAUGAAGAAGGCCUUAGGGUUGUAAAGUACUUUCAUCGGGGAGGAAAAACAAAACUAAUAAUUUUAUUUCUUGACGUUACCCGAAAAAGAAGCACCGGCUAACUCCGUGCCAGCAGCCGCGGUAAUACGGAGGGUGCUAGCGUUAAUCAGAAUUACUGGGCGUAAAGAGCACGUAGGUGGUUUUUUUAAGUCAGAUGUGAAAUCCCUGGGCUUAACCUAGGAACUGCAUUUUGAAACUGAAAUACUAGAGUAUCGUAGAGGGAGGUAGAAUUCUAGGUGUAGCGGUGAAAUGCGUAGAUAUCUGGAGGAAUACCUGUGGCGAAAGCGGCCUCCUAAACGAAUACUGACACUGAGGUGCGAAAGCGUGGGGAGCGAAACAGGGAUUAGAUACC